RNAcentral lists this ribosomal RNA (428 nucleotides) under uncultured bacterium. RNAcentral describes it as "partial 16S ribosomal RNA". It matches the Rfam family "Bacterial small subunit ribosomal RNA", at positions 354 to 796 of the family's 1533-position model. The record is from RNAcentral.
GUGGGGAAUAUUGGGCAAUGGGCGGAAGCCUGACCCAGCGACGCCGCGUGGGGGAAGAAGUCUUUCGGGACGUAAACCCAUGUUGUACGGGACGAAGGAAGUGACGGUACCGUACGAGGAAGCCCCGGCAAACUACGUGCCAGCAGCCGCGGUAAUACGUAGGGGGCGAGCGUUGUCCGGAAUCACUGGGCGUAAAGCGCACGUAGGCGGGCUGUUAAGUCGGCCGUGAAAGGCACGGGCUCAACCGGUGCAUGUCGGUCGAUACUGGCGGUCUGGAGUAUGGGAGAGGGAACUGGAAGUCCCGGUGUAGCGGUGAAAUGCGUAGAUAUCGGGAGGAACACCAGUGGCGAAGGCGGGUUCCUGGCCCAUGACUGACGCUGAGGUGCGAAAGCCGGGGGAGCGAACGGGAUUAGAAACCCCUGUAGUCC